CGGGACACGUGGUAUCCUGUCUGAAUAUGGGGGGACCAUCCUCCAAGGCUAAAUACUCCUGACUGACCGAUAGUGAACCAGUACCGUGAGGGAAAGGCGAAAAGAACCCCGGCGAGGGGAGUGAAAAAGAACCUGAAACCGUGUACGUACAAGCAGUGGGAGCACGCUUAGGCGUGUGACUGCGUACCUUUUGUAUAAUGGGUCAGCGACUUAUAUUCUGUAGCAAGGUUAACCGAAUAGGGGAGCCGAAGGGAAACCGAGUCUUAACUGGGCGUUAAGUUGCAGGGUAUAGACCCGAAACCCGGUGAUCUAGCCAUGGGCAGGUUGAAGGUUGGGUAACACUAACUGGAGGACCGAACCGACUAAUGUUGAAAAAUUAGCGGAUGACUUGUGGCUGGGGGUGAAAGGCCAAUCAAACCGGGAGAUAGCUGGUUCUCCCCGAAAGCUAUUUAGGUAGCGCCUCGUGAAUUCAUCUCCGGGGGUAGAGCACUGUUUCGGCAAGGGGGUCAUCCCGACUUACCAACCCGAUGCAAACUGCGAAUACCGGAGAAUGUUAUCACGGGAGACACACGGCGGGUGCUAACGUCCGUCGUGAAGAGGGAAACAACCCAGACCGCCAGCUAAGGUCCCAAAGUCAUGGUUAAGUGGGAAACGAUGUGGGAAGGCCCAGACAGCCAGGAUGUUGGCUUAGAAGCAGCCAUCAUUUAAAGAAAGCGUAAUAGCUCACUGGUCGAGUCGGCCUGCGCGGAAGAUGUAACGGGGCUAAACCAUGCACCGAAGCUGCGGCAGCGACGCUGAUGCGUUGUUGGGUAGGGGAGCGUUCUGUAAGCCUGUGAAGGUGUGCUGUGAGGCAUGCUGGAGGUAUCAGAAGUGCGAAUGCUGACAUAAGUAACGAUAAAGCGGGUGAAAAGCCCGCUCGCCGGAAGACCAAGGGUUCCUGUCCAACGUUAAUCGGGGCAGGGUGAGUCGACCCCUAAGGCGAGGCCGAAAGGCGUAGUCGAUGGGAAACAGGUUAAUAUUCCUGUACUUGGUGUUACUGCGAAGGGGGGACGGAGAAGGCUAUGUUGGCCGGGCGACGGUUGUCCCGGUUUAAGCGUGUAGGCUGGUUUUCCAGGCAAAUCCGGAAAAUCAAGGCUGAGGCGUGAUGACGAGGCACUACGGUGCUGAAGCAACAAAUGCCCUGCUUCCAGGAAAAGCCUCUAAGCAUCAGGUAACAUCAAAUCGUACCCCAAACCGACACAGGUGGUCAGGUAGAGAAUACCAAGGCGCUUGAGAGAACUCGGGUGAAGGAACUAGGCAAAAUGGUGCCGUAACUUCGGGAGAAGGCACGCUGAUAUGUAGGUGAAGCGACUUGCUCGUGGAGCUGAAAUCAGUCGAAGAUACCAGCUGGCUGCAACUGUUUAUUAAAAACACAGCACUGUGCAAACACGAAAGUGGACGUAUACGGUGUGACGCCUGCCCGGUGCCGGAAGGUUAAUUGAUGGGGUCAGCGCAAGCGAAGCUCUUGAUCGAAGCCCCGGUAAACGGCGGCCGUAACUAUAACGGUCCUAAGGUAGCGAAAUUCCUUGUCGGGUAAGUUCCGACCUGCACGAAUGGCGUAAUGAUGGCCAGGCUGUCUCCACCCGAGACUCAGUGAAAUUGAACUCGCUGUGAAGAUGCAGUGUACCCGCGGCAAGACGGAAAGACCCCGUGAACCUUUACUAUAGCUUGACACUGAACAUUGAGCCUUGAUGUGUAGGAUAGGUGGGAGGCUUUGAAGUGUGGACGCCAGUCUGCAUGGAGCCGGCCUUGAAAUACCACCCUUUAAUGUUUGAUGUUCUAACGUUGACCCGUGAUCCGGGUUGCGGACAGUGUCUGGUGGGUAGUUUGACUGGGGCGGUCUCCUCCUAAAGAGUAACGGAGGAGCACGAAGGUUGGCUAAUCCUGGUCGGACAUCAGGAGGUUAGUGCAAUGGCAUAAGCCAGCUUGACUGCGAGCGUGACGGCGCGAGCAGGUGCGAAAGCAGGUCAUAGUGAUCCGGUGGUUCUGAAUGGAAGGGCCAUCGCUCAACGGAUAAAAGGUACUCCGGGGAUAACAGGCUGAUACCGCCCAAGAGUUCAUAUCGACGGCGGUGUUUGGCACCUCGAUGUCGGCUCAUCACAUCCUGGGGCUGAAGUAGGUCCCAAGGGUAUGGCUGUUCGCCAUUUAAAGUGGUACGCGAGCUGGGUUUAGAACGUCGUGAGACAGUUCGGUCCCUAUCUGCCGUGGGCGCUGGAGAACUGAGGGGGGCUGCUCCU
RNAcentral lists this ribosomal RNA (2276 nucleotides) under Escherichia coli. Its description in RNAcentral is "partial 23S ribosomal RNA". It matches the Rfam family "Bacterial large subunit ribosomal RNA", at positions 418 to 2679 of the family's 2925-position model. The record is from RNAcentral. Lineage: Bacteria; Pseudomonadati; Pseudomonadota; Gammaproteobacteria; Enterobacterales; Enterobacteriaceae.